RNAcentral lists this long non-coding RNA (1123 nucleotides) under Phasianus colchicus (ring-necked pheasant). Its description in RNAcentral is "lncRNA (ENSPCLG00000020816.1)". Lineage: Eukaryota; Metazoa; Chordata; Aves; Galliformes; Phasianidae. The record is from RNAcentral.
AUGACUAUAUAUAUAUUCAUAUACUUCUAUAAUUUUCCCCCCGCACCAUGGCUUCAAAUGACCACUGUCUGUUUCUCUAUCAUGUUUCUCUAUGUUUAUCUAAGAGAAAGAAUGACAAAGAAAGCCCGUGAAACAGAUGCAGGAACCCUCCUGCUGCCACUGGGUGAUUCUCAGCUGCAAAGCUCUCCCAUCCAUGUGAGCUGGUUUCUUCACCCCAGACCUGAAGGCAUUUUGGCAUUAAAUGAAAUGUUUUCACCUGCAGUGAAAUGCUUUGGGAUGAAAGAUAUCGUACAGACGAAUGAUUAUAACAAGAGAAGGAAAUAUAGUGAAGAUACAGUAUCUGUGUUUAGUACUCAAAUGGACAAGCAGUACUUUUCCCAGGCAAAUAAGCGUCAUUUGUAGCAAAAGCUGUGCGAAUUACUGAAGAGUUCAAAUGAUGUUUGGGCUGUACUAUUUCCUCCUGUACCAGUGUAAAUCUUUGCUGUGUGUUGACGUCAACUUUCUCUUUUGAAAUCAUUCCACUUUCUUGUACGAAAUUCCACUGGAUUUAUGCUGAUGAGAGUGGAUUUUGGCCCCUUAAAUGUAGCCCAAGACAAUUACAUCUCCAUUAAGAAAUUAAUUCAGAAUUAAUGCAGUUAUUGUGCAGUGAUUAAAUCCCAAACUGCUGUUGGAAAAACUGAAUUAUUGAGGUUUGCCAUUUAAGCUGUAGCUUGUGGAGACAUAAUGAACUGGCCUUUUAUAUUACACGAUAAACCUCAUGUUCUUAAUAAUCACUUGGAAUUGACUUCAUGUAAAUAACUAGUACAGCUGCAGCAAUCAGCUCCUGAGACAGUGCAGCUAUCUUGCCAGGAUUUUUCUGGUUGCUGCAUUUCAUUCUACUUUAUUUUUUUACUGUGGAAUUGCUACAAAACCAACCUGUAUGGUCUCCUAGCAGCUCAAUUAAUACCUUGUGUAACUUGUAAAGAGCUCUUUAUGGAUAUAACAGAUUCCUUAUUGUAGGUUAAAAAUGUACCAAUUGAAUUUGAGUGUUGCCAUUAUUAUUGUUGAUGGAGUUUUUCCAACUCUGCAAGAUGUAUAAAUUACAGUGGUUGAAGCUCAAUAAAUAUGGUUUAACAGUAGAGCA